Molecule: ribosomal RNA, 874 nt
Filed under: Cymostachys arthraeruae
Lineage: Eukaryota; Fungi; Ascomycota; Sordariomycetes; Hypocreales; Stachybotryaceae
Description: partial large subunit ribosomal RNA
Rfam family: Eukaryotic large subunit ribosomal RNA
Source: RNAcentral
GCGGAGGAAAAGAAACCAACAGGGAUUGCCUCAGUAACGGCGAGUGAAGCGGCAACAGCUCAAAUUUGAAAUCUGGCCCUCGGGUCCGAGUUGUAAUUUGCAGAGGAUGCUUUUGGCGCGGUGCCUUCCGAGUUCCCUGGAACGGGACGCCACAGAGGGUGAGAGCCCCGUCUGGUUGGACACCAAGCCUCUGUAAAGCUCCUUCGACGAGUCGAGUAGUUUGGGAAUGCUGCUCUAAAUGGGAGGUACAUGCCUUCUAAAGCUAAAUACCGGCCAGAGACCGAUAGCGCACAAGUAGAGUGAUCGAAAGAUGAAAAGCACUUUGGAAAGAGAGUUAAACAGCACGUGAAAUUGUUAAAAGGGAAGCGUUUAUGACCAGACGUGGGCCGGUUAAUCAUCCAGCGUUCUCGCUGGUGCACUUUGCCGGUCCAGGCCAGCAUCAGUUCGCCGCGGGGGAUAAAGGCGUCGGGAAUGUGGCUCCUCGGAGUGUUAUAGCCCUUCGCGCAAUACCCUGGGGCGGACUGAGGUUCGCGCUCUGCAAGGAUGCUGGCGUAAUGGUCAUCAACGACCCGUCUUGAAACACGGACCAAGGAGUCGUCUUCGUAUGCGAGUGUUCGGGUGUAAAACCCCUACGCGUAAUGAAAGUGAACGCAGGUGAGAGCUUCGGCGCAUCAUCGACCGAUCCUGAUGUUCUCGGAUGGAUUUGAGUAAGAGCAUACGGGGCCGGACCCGAAAGAAGGUGAACUAUGCCUGUAUAGGGUGAAGCCAGAGGAAACUCUGGUGGAGGCUCGCAGCGGUUCUGACGUGCAAAUCGAUCGUCAAAUAUGGGCAUGGGGGCGAAAGACUAAUCGAACCUUCUAGUAGCUGGUUUCCG